RNAcentral lists this ribosomal RNA (231 nucleotides) under uncultured bacterium. RNAcentral describes it as "partial 16S ribosomal RNA". It matches the Rfam family "Bacterial small subunit ribosomal RNA", at positions 103 to 334 of the family's 1533-position model. The record is from RNAcentral.
CGGGUGAGUAACACGUAUCCAACCUGCCGUCUACUCUUGGACAGCCUUCUGAAAGGAAGAUUAAUACAAGAUGGCAUCAUGAGUUCACAUGUUCACAUGAUUAAAGGUAUUCCGGUAGACGAUGGGGAUGCGUUCCAUUAGAUAGUAGGCGGGGUAACGGCCCACCUAGUCUUCGAUGGAUAGGGGUUCUGAGAGGAAGGUCCCCCACAUUGGAACUGAGACACGGUCCAA